UACGUAGGCGGGAAAUUAAGUCAGUAGUGAAAUCCCACAGCUUAACUGUGGAACUGUUAUUGAUACUGGUUUUCUUGAAUAUAGUUGAGGUAGGCGGAAUGUGUAAUGUAGCGGCGAAAUGCUUAGAUAUUACACAGAACACCGAUUGCGAAGGCAGCUUACUAAGCUAUGAUUGACGCUAAGGUACGAAAGCGUGGGGGGCGAACAGGAUUAGAUACCCUGGUAGUCC
RNAcentral lists this ribosomal RNA (229 nucleotides) under uncultured bacterium. RNAcentral's name for it is "partial 16S ribosomal RNA". It matches the Rfam family "Bacterial small subunit ribosomal RNA", at positions 568 to 796 of the family's 1533-position model. The record is from RNAcentral.